RNAcentral lists this ribosomal RNA (422 nucleotides) under uncultured bacterium. Its description in RNAcentral is "bacterial SSU rRNA". It matches the Rfam family "Bacterial small subunit ribosomal RNA", at positions 359 to 773 of the family's 1533-position model. The record is from RNAcentral.
GAAUUUUGGACAAUGGGGGCAACCCUGAUCCAGCCGUCCCGCGUGUGCGAUGAAGGCCUUCGGGUUGUAAAGCACUUUUGGCAGGGAAGAAAAGGCUCUGGCUAAUACCUGGAGCUGCUGACGGUACCUGCAGAAUAAGCACCGGCCAACUAAGUGCCAGCAGCCGCUGUAAUACGUAGGGUGCAAGCGUUAAUCGGAAUUACUGGGCGUAACGCUUGCGCAGGCGGUUCGGCAAGAAGGAUGUGAAAUCCCAGGGCUUAACCUUGGAACUGCAUUCUUAACUGCCGGGCUAGAGUAUGUCAGAGGGGGGUAGAAUUCCGCGUGUAGCAGUGAAAUGCGUAGAGAUGCGGAGGAAUACCGAUGGCGGAGGCAGCCCCCUGGGAUAAUACUGACGCUCAUGCACGAAAGCGUGGGGAGCAAAC